UACGUAGGUGGCGAGCGUUGUCCGGAUUUACUGGGCGUAAAGAGCGCGCAGGCGGUCGUAUAAGUCGCGUGUGAAAGCCCCCGGCUCAACUGGGGAGGGUCACGCGAUACUGUUCGACUCGAAGGCAGGAGAGGGAAGUGGAAUUCCCGGUGUAGUGGUGAAAUGCGUAGAGAUCGGCAGGAACACCCAGGGGGAAACCAGCCGACUGGGCAAGUGCUGACGCUGAGGUGCGAGAGCGUGGGGAGCGAACCGG
RNAcentral lists this ribosomal RNA (253 nucleotides) under uncultured bacterium. Its description in RNAcentral is "partial 16S ribosomal RNA". It matches the Rfam family "Bacterial small subunit ribosomal RNA", at positions 524 to 776 of the family's 1533-position model. The record is from RNAcentral.